GGGAAUGCAUGGAUAGCCUUGUACUCCACGCAGCACCUAUGUCCUUCAUGUGCUCCUUCGCUAUCUACAAAGUUGUGCCUGCCCGCUUUCCCUGCUCACGCCUGCUCGUCCCCGUCCGCGUCCAGACCCCAGUCAUCGUCCAGGUCCUCCGCGUUCACGCCCGCUCCGUCGCCCUCCUCGGCCUCGCCCUCGGGGUCGCCGAAGGGGUCCUCCUCCUCCUCUUCCUCCUCAGGCUCAGCGGCGGGUGCCGGCGGCUGCGGCGCGGGCGGCACGGGCGCAGGAGGCGGCGCGGGCGCGGGCUCCGGGGGCUUGGCCACCGGCGCGGGGGGCGCCGGAGGCACCACUUGCUCCUCCUCCUCCUCCUGCAGCGCAAAAGGGAAAGUCAACAUCGUCAAGCUGCACAAGAAUAGAGCAAAAGCUUCACGGCAGAUGCGCGCUGUCAACUCCUCCGUGGUCGGCAAUGGAGCGAGCCCGCGUCCUCAGCACUCACUUCUGCCAUCGCCUCGUCCUCCUGCUCCUCCUCCUCGUCCUCCUGCUCCUCGUGCACGUGGUGCGCGGGUGCCGGCGUCGGCACCGAGGCCGCUGGCGCCUCAUCCGCCUCCGCCUCCUCGCCGUCGCCUAGCCCCAGGUCGCCCAACCGCGCCAGCAGCCCGUCCAGGCCGCCCUCCAUGGUGGACGCCGCGAUGGCGGCCGCCUCCAGGUAGUUCUCCGCCGGCACCUUGCUAUCGCGACCCGCCGCUGUACAGGAACAGAAAGGCAGUGGUGAGGCAUUACAGCUGAACAUUAGCCAGAGCGGGAGGCGGGGCCCAGUUGUACAGAAAUGGCUGCCGCAUGCUCGACCCAAGUGCUCUCAAGCAGUUCGGGUCCAUAGCGCGAGCAGAUGCGCUCACCCAGUAGCUUUUCUGCGCGGAGCGCCUCGUCCAAGUGCGGGAACAGGUUGGGGUACGCCGCUGGGUCUGCCAGCGCCUCGGCAGCCUGUCGGUCAUGAAACGUGCACAGGGGCGUGCCUAAAGCAUUGGCAAGUGCAUCCUGCGCAUUUGUUCGCGUGGUCACAUAGCUGGUUGUAAAACGCUCCAGCCCGUAACCCGCCGGACACCCAUACCUUGGGGUUGAUGGCCGCCAGGUCCGCCUUCCACUUCACCAGCGCUGGCGUGAUGGCCGACGGCAUGUAGGUGCGAGCGAAGAAGGCCGCCUCCGGCAGCCUGAAGGAGCAAAGGCCCAUUAGCAGGCGUCAGCAACACUGCAUAAUAACCGUACAAUCGUGGUACCGACGAUCGCAGCAACACCCCGUCCACUACAUGCGGCCGCGCAACCGCACCUGUUGGUGUCCAGCAGCAGGUUGAGGCAGUCGUCCAGGCGGCCCAGCAGGAAGAACGCCAGGAACGCCACGUUGCUCUUGCCGCCCGCCGCCGCCGACACCGCCACCGCCGCCAUGCCGGCGCGGUCGCCGCGCGCGGAUGCCAGCAUUAGCAGGCCCGAGAAGUCGCUGGCGCGCGACAGGCAUUCCGCCGCCAGCUCCAGCUUGCCCCCCGUGAGCGCCAUCUCGCCCAGCUGCUUCCACUUGGGCGUGGAGUCCAGCGUCUGCGCGAUGCUCUGCGCCACCUCCAGGUCGCCCAGCUGCACCGCCAGGUCGAAGCGGUAGUCGGGGUCGGUGGCCACGGCCAGGGCGGUGCCCACCAUGCCCUUGGCCUCCAGGAAGCGCGCCACGGCGUUGUGCUGGUCCUUGGGGAUCUGCGGCAGCAGCUCCAUGGCACUGUCCAGCUCGCCGCGCGAGAUGCGCGCCUUGAACUCCAC
Molecule: long non-coding RNA, 1794 nt
Filed under: Chlamydomonas reinhardtii
Lineage: Eukaryota; Viridiplantae; Chlorophyta; Chlorophyceae; Chlamydomonadales; Chlamydomonadaceae
Description: long non-coding RNA (CREI_LNC000172)
Source: RNAcentral